This 328-nucleotide ribosomal RNA is filed under the name uncultured Lachnospiraceae bacterium. RNAcentral describes it as "bacterial SSU rRNA". It matches the Rfam family "Bacterial small subunit ribosomal RNA", at positions 355 to 701 of the family's 1533-position model. The record is from RNAcentral. Lineage: Bacteria; Bacillati; Bacillota; Clostridia; Lachnospirales; Lachnospiraceae.
UGGGGAAUAUUGCACAAUGGGGGAAACCCUGAUGCAGCGACGCCGCGUGAAGGAAGAAGUAUUUCGGUAUGUAAACAUCUAUCAGCAGGGAAGAAAAUGACGGUACCUGACUAAGAAGCCCCGGCUAACUACGUGCCAGCAGCCGCGGUAAUACGUAGGGGGCAAGCGUUAUCCGGAUUUACUGGGUGUAAAGGGAGCGUAGACGGCGGUGCAAGUCUGAUGUGAAAACCCGGGGCUCAACCCCGGGCUGCAUUGGAAACUGCAUGGCUGGAGUGUCGGAGAGGCAGGCGGAAUUCCUAGUGUAGCGGUGAAAUGCGUAGAUAUUAGG